This 251-nucleotide ribosomal RNA is filed under the name uncultured bacterium. RNAcentral describes it as "partial 16S ribosomal RNA". It matches the Rfam family "Bacterial small subunit ribosomal RNA", at positions 524 to 776 of the family's 1533-position model. The record is from RNAcentral.
UACGGGGGGGGCAAGCGUUGUUCGGAAUUACUGGGCGUAAAGGGCUCGUAGGCGGCCAACUAAGUCAGACGUGAAAUCCCCAGGCUCAACCUGGGAACUGCGUCUGAUACUGGAUGGCUUGAAUCGGGAGAGGGAUGCGAAUUCCAGGUGUAGCGGUGAAAUGCGUAGAUAUCUGGAGGAACACCGGUGGCGAAGGCGGCAUCCUGGACCGGCAUUGACGCUGAGGCGCGAAAGCCAGGGGAGCAAACGGG